This 253-nucleotide ribosomal RNA is filed under the name uncultured bacterium. RNAcentral's name for it is "partial 16S ribosomal RNA". It matches the Rfam family "Bacterial small subunit ribosomal RNA", at positions 524 to 776 of the family's 1533-position model. The record is from RNAcentral.
UACGUAGGGUGCAAGCGUUAAUCGGAAUUACUGGGCGUAAAGCGUGCGCAGGCGGUGAUGUAAGACAGAUGUGAAAUCCCCGGGCUCAACCUGGGACCUGCAUUUGUGACUGUAUAGCUAGAGUACGGUAGAGGGGGAUGGAAUUCCGCGUGUAGCAGUGAAAUGCGUAGAUAUGCGGAGGAACACCGAUGGCGAAGGCGAUCCCCUGGACCUGUACUGACGCUCAUGCACGAAAGCGUGGGGAGCAAACAGG